This is a non-coding RNA of Cinara cedri, 1149 nucleotides long. NCBI's taxonomy places the organism in Eukaryota, Metazoa, Arthropoda, Insecta, Hemiptera, Aphididae. The record is from the annotation of a GenBank genome assembly.
CAAUUUUAUUCAGAUUUAAUACAAUCAGUAAGUAAUAAUGUUCAAUAUAAAUUAAUAUAUUAAUAAAUAAACUAGACAUUAUUGGUAUAAGAAAUCUAAUUUUUUUAUGGUUCAACUCAUACCUGUCUGACCAAAAAAUCUCACAUAAUAUUAAUGUAACUUCUGAAGUGUCGCAAGACGGUCAUCUUUUGCUCCUGGUAUUUUUUUAUUUUUAUCAAUGAUUUAAAUAAUAUACUUCAAUUUUGUAAAUCCGCUUUAUUUGCAGAUGAUUUAAAACUAUACCAAUUUUUUCAAUAAAUGAUUAUAAUAAGCUACAACAUGAAAUCAAUCAGUUCUGCUUAUGGUAUACAAACAACAGUCUAAACUUAAAUACAGAUAAAUGUAUUUAAAUCACAUUAACUAGAAAUAGGCGGAAUUUUAUAUUCAAUUAUCAUAUAAUUAACAAAAAAAAUACAGUACCGCAUCUAAGGUUAAAGACUUCGGUCUUUAACCUAUUUUUUCUAGUGAUUUUAAAUUUACCGAAUAUAUUAAUGAAAUCCAUAAUAAAUCUAUUUAAUCAACUCAACUGCUGGGAGUCUUUUGAUCUAAAUCGCUUGCAUGUUUUUUUAUUUAUCGCUACGAUUUCUUAAGAUCAGUUCUGGAGCAUGGUUCCCUAAUCUGGUGCCCCCAUAGAAUAUCAAGAAUAUCUUAGACAAAAAAUUAGGAAUCCAAAAUCGAUUUUUACGUAUGCUAACAUAAAAAACAAACAAUGAUGUUGAACUAACUUUGCAAUGUCAUCUUGCUUUAAAAUUUAAUGUAGAAAAUCUGAAAUUUAGAAGGUCCUGGAAUACUUGCUUUAAUUAAUAUAAAUGUUCCAAACAUAAUUUUAAAAUCCAUGAUUUACUUACUUACCUACUUAUAAACCUAAUUAUCACCUAUUAACACCAGUUAAUUGAAUUUCAACUCUAGGUAAUAAACUUAAUAAUUUUUAUUUUUUUUUUUUUUUUUUUUUUUUUUUUGGAAAUGAAACACUGUUUGAAAAUAUUUGAAUUCUUUAGUUCUAAGUUGUAUUAUUUAUCUUGAAUACUUUACUGUUUACUUUAUAGUGCUAAAUAUUGUCUUGACUUUUUUUUGUUACUCCUUGUUGUGUAUCUCUCUAGUGUUUACUGA